GAUGAACGCUGGCGGCGUGCCUAAUACAUGCAAGUCGAGCGAAGCGGGGACGGGUGAGUAACACGUGGAUAACCUCCUAUAUGACUGGGAUAACCUCGGGAAACCGGAGCCAAUCCGGACACUUAUAGAUGGUUGCGCGCUGCAUUAGCUAGUUGGUAAGGUAACGGCUUACCAAGGCAACGAUGCCUAGCCGACCUGAGAGGAUGAUCAGCCACACUGGAACUGAGACACGGUCCAGACUCCUACGGGAGGCAGCAGUGGGGAAUCUUCCACAAUGGGCGAAAGCCUGACGGAGCAACGCCGCGUGUGUGAUGAAGGUCUUCGGGUCGUAAAACACUUUUAUUAGGGAAGCGGUACCUGAUCAAAAAGCCCCGGCUAACUACGUGCCAGCAGCCGCGGUAAUUC
RNAcentral lists this ribosomal RNA (405 nucleotides) under uncultured bacterium. RNAcentral's name for it is "partial 16S ribosomal RNA". It matches the Rfam family "Bacterial small subunit ribosomal RNA", at positions 28 to 526 of the family's 1533-position model. The record is from RNAcentral.